This 439-nucleotide ribosomal RNA is filed under the name uncultured bacterium. Its description in RNAcentral is "partial 16S ribosomal RNA". It matches the Rfam family "Bacterial small subunit ribosomal RNA", at positions 338 to 795 of the family's 1533-position model. The record is from RNAcentral.
CCUACGGGUGGCAGCAGUGGGGGAUAUUGCACAAUGGAGGGAACUCUGAUGCAGCGACGCCGCGUGAGGGAAGACGGUCCUCGGAUUGUAAACCUCUGUCUUUGGGGAAGCAAAUGACGGUACUCAAAGCGGAAGCUCCGGCUAACUACGUGCCAGCAGCGGCGGUAAUACGUAGGAAGCGAGCGUUGUCCGGAAUUACUGGGUGUAAAGGGAGCGUAGGCGGGCGAGAAAGUUGACUGUAAAAUCUACCGGCGUAACUGGUAGCUGCGUUCAAAACUUCUUGUCUUGAGUGAAGUAGAGGCAGGCGGAAUGCCUAGUGUAGCGGUGAAAUGCGUAGAUAUUAGGAGGAACACCAGUGGUGAAGGCGGCCUGCUGGGCUUUAACUGACGCUGAGGCUCGAAAGCGUGGGGAGCGAACAGGAUUAGAUACCCUGGUAGUC